Molecule: transfer RNA, 84 nt
Filed under: Planctomycetota bacterium
Lineage: Bacteria; Pseudomonadati; Planctomycetota
Description: Planctomycetes bacterium (freshwater metagenome) tRNA-Leu
Rfam family: tRNA
About the family: Transfer RNA (tRNA) molecules are approximately 80 nucleotides in length. Their secondary structure includes four short double-helical elements and three loops (D, anti-codon, and T loops). Further hydrogen bonds mediate the characteristic L-shaped molecular structure. tRNAs have two regions of fundamental functional importance: the anti-codon, which is responsible for specific mRNA codon recognition, and the 3' end, to which the tRNAs corresponding amino acid is attached (by aminoacyl-tRNA synthetases). tRNAs cope with the degeneracy of the genetic code in two manners: having more than one tRNA (with a specific anti-codon) for a particular amino acid; and 'wobble' base-pairing, i.e. permitting non-standard base-pairing at the 3rd anti-codon position.
Source: RNAcentral
GCCGGAGUGGCGGAAUCGGCAGACGCGCUGGACUCAAAAUCCAGUGACCGCAAGGUCGUGUGGGUUCGACCCCCUCCUCCGGCA